UUAAAUUGAAGAGUUUGAUCAUGGCUCAGAUUGAACGCUGGCGGCAGGCCUAACACAUGCAAGUCGAACGGUAACAGGAAACAGCUUGCUGUUUCGC
This 97-nucleotide ribosomal RNA is filed under the name Escherichia coli. Its description in RNAcentral is "partial 16S ribosomal RNA". It matches the Rfam family "Bacterial small subunit ribosomal RNA", at positions 1 to 92 of the family's 1533-position model. The record is from RNAcentral. Lineage: Bacteria; Pseudomonadati; Pseudomonadota; Gammaproteobacteria; Enterobacterales; Enterobacteriaceae.